AAUUUUUUGUCAUUAAUAAUUUAAUUUUAAUUAUUUUUCCACUUUUCUUUGCCACCAAACAAACGCCGAUUCCAUCUCUUUAAGUACGCGUUUCGCUGGUUCAAUGCCGUAAUAAAAACUACGCGUGAAAACCAAAUCACGGUUAUAUUGUUGACGUUGAAGCUUAUCAAGAACAUCACCAUUCAGACUCAUCUCAAUUGUUAUUUUAUGAAAAAGGGGAUUCUGUUUA
Molecule: long non-coding RNA, 229 nt
Organism: Cucurbita moschata (crookneck pumpkin)
Lineage: Eukaryota; Viridiplantae; Streptophyta; Magnoliopsida; Cucurbitales; Cucurbitaceae
Exons: 2
Source: RefSeq, a predicted model, not a curated record